This 73-nucleotide small nucleolar RNA is filed under the name Amphibalanus amphitrite. Lineage: Eukaryota; Metazoa; Arthropoda; Thecostraca; Balanomorpha; Balanidae. The record is from RNAcentral.
UUCUGACGUGAUGAAUUCGUAUACCGCCCCAGUCUGAGCUAAUAUGACUGAAUGGUUUGUUAAUCUGAUAAUG